AUUGAACGCUGGCGGCAUGCCUAACACAUGCAAGUCGAGCGGAUGAAGGGAGCUUGCUCCUGGAUUCAGCGGCGGACGGGUGAGUAAUGCCUACGAAUCUGCCUGGUAGUUGGGGAUAACGUCCGUAAACGGGCGCUAAUACCGCAUACGUCCUGAUGGUGAAAGUGGGGGAUCUUCGGACCUCACGCUAUCAGAUGAGCCUAGGUCGGAUUAGCUAGUUGGUGGGGUAAAGGCCUACCAAGGCGACGAUCCGUAACUGGUCUGAGAGGCUGAUCAGUCACACUGGAACUGAGACACGGUCCAGACUCCUACGGGAGGCAGCAGUGGGGAAUAUUGGGCAAUGGGCGAAAGCCUGAUCGAGCCAUGCCGCGUGAGUGAAGAAGGUCUUCGGAUUGUAAAGCACUUUAAGUUGGGAGGAAGGGCAGUAAGUUAAUACCUUGCUGUCUUGACGGUACCAAAAGAAUAAGCAACGGCUAACUUCGUG
RNAcentral lists this ribosomal RNA (484 nucleotides) under uncultured bacterium. RNAcentral describes it as "partial 16S ribosomal RNA". It matches the Rfam family "Bacterial small subunit ribosomal RNA", at positions 30 to 507 of the family's 1533-position model. The record is from RNAcentral.